This 433-nucleotide ribosomal RNA is filed under the name uncultured bacterium. Its description in RNAcentral is "partial 16S ribosomal RNA". It matches the Rfam family "Bacterial small subunit ribosomal RNA", at positions 29 to 507 of the family's 1533-position model. The record is from RNAcentral.
AGCGAACGCUGGCAGCAGGCCUAACACAUGCAAGUCGAACGAACUCUUCGGAGUUAGUGGCGGACGGGUGAGUAACACGUGGGAACGUGCCUUUUGGUUCGGAAUAACUCAGGGAAACUUGUGCUAAUACCGAAUGUGCCCUUCGGGGGAAAGAUUUAUCGCCAUUAGAGCGGCCCGCGUCUGAUUAGCUAGUUGGUGAGGUAACGGCUCACCAAGGCGACGAUCAGUAGCUGGUCUGAGAGGAUGACCAGCCACACUGGGACUGAGACACGGCCCAGACUCCUACGGGAGGCAGCAGUGGGGAAUCUUGCGCAAUGGGCGAAAGCCUGACGCAGCCAUGCCGCGUGAAUGAUGAAGGUCUUAGGAUUGUAAAAUUCUUUCACCGGGGACGAUAAUGACGGUACCCGGAGAAGAAGCCCCGGCUAACUUCGUG